This 205-nucleotide long non-coding RNA is filed under the name Elaeis guineensis (African oil palm). RNAcentral's name for it is "long non-coding RNA (EGUI_LNC040275)". Lineage: Eukaryota; Viridiplantae; Streptophyta; Magnoliopsida; Arecales; Arecaceae. The record is from RNAcentral.
GUUGGAUUAUGUUUUGCAUGACUUUUAAAAUACAAUAUCAGCUCUAUAACCUAUGCUAUAGAUGAAAGAAAAAGGUUCAUCAUGUUUUAAAAACUAUACAAAAUACGAUCUAAUAAUUAAAAUCAUGAAAGAAAAUUAAUCAUUCUUUUUGCACGAAAGAUACAACUUGAACCCUUUUAUAGUUAUUUCUAACUCUAUCCCCUCC